RNAcentral lists this ribosomal RNA (460 nucleotides) under uncultured bacterium. RNAcentral's name for it is "partial 16S ribosomal RNA". It matches the Rfam family "Bacterial small subunit ribosomal RNA", at positions 338 to 795 of the family's 1533-position model. The record is from RNAcentral.
CCUACGGGUGGCAGCAGUGAGGAAUAUUGGUCAAUGGACGGGAGUCUGAACCAGCCAAGUAGCGUGAAGGAUGACUGCCCUAGGGAUUGUAAACUUCUUUUAUAUGGGAGUAAAAGAUUCCACGUGUGGGAUUUUGUAUGUACCAUAUGAAUAAGGAUCGGCUAACUCCGUGCCAGCAGCCGCGGUAAUACGGAGGAUCCGAGCGUUAUCCGGAUUUAGUGGGUUUAAAGGGAGCGUAGGUGGAUUGUUAAGUCAGUUGUGAAAGUUUGGGGCUCAACCGUGAAAUUGCAGUUGAAACUGGCAGUCUUGAGUACAGUAGAGGUGGGCGGAAUUCGUGGUGUAGCGGUGAAAUGCGUAGAUAUCACGAAGAACACCGAUUGCGAAGGCAGCUCACUGGACUGCAACUGACACUGAGGCUCGAAAGUGUGGGGAUCAAACAGGAUUAGAUACCCCUGUAGUC